UGGAUCCAGACUUUGAUUCUGGCUCAGGAUGAACGCUAGCUACAGGCUUAACACAUGCAAGUCGAGGGGAAACGAUAGAGAAAGCUUGCUUUUUCUAGGCGUCGACCGGCGCACGGGUGAGUAACGCGUAUCCAACCUGCCCACCACUUGGGGAUAACCUUGCGAAAGUAAGACUAAUACCCAAUGAUAUCUCAAGAAGACAUCUGAAAGAGAUUAAAGAUUUAUCGGUGAUGGAUGGGGAUGCGUCUGAUCAGCUUGUUGGCGGGGUAACGGCCCACCAAGGCGACGAUCAGUAGGGGUUCUGAGAGGAAGGUCCCCCACAUUGGAACUGAGACACGGUCCAAACUCCUACGGGAGGCAGCAGCGAGGAAUAUUGGUCAAUGGGCGAGAGCCUGAACCGGCCAAGUAGCGUGCAGGAUGACGGCCCUAUGGGUUGUAAACUGCUUUUAUAAGGGAAUAAAGCGAGCCUCGUGAGGCUUUUUGCAUGUACCUUAUGAAUAAGGACCGGCUAAUUCCGUGCCAGCAGCCGCGGUAAUACGGAAGGUCCGGGCGUUAUCCGGAUUUAUUGGGUUUAAAGGGAGCGUAGGCCGGAGAUUAAGCGUGUUGUGAAAUGUAGAUGCUCAACAUCUGCACUGCAGCGCGAACUGGUUUCCUUGAGUACGCACAAAGUGGGCGGAAUUCAUGGUGUAGCGGUGAAAUGCUUAGAUAUCACGAAGAACUCCGAUUGCGAAGGCAGCUCACUGGAGCGCAACUGACGCUGAAGCUCGAAAGUGCGGGUAUCGAACAGGAUUAGAUACCCUGGUAGUCCGCACGGUAAACGAUGGAUGCCCGCUGUUGGUCUGAAUAGGUCAGCGGCCAAGCGAAAGCAUUAAGCAUCCCACCUGGGGAGUACGCCGGCAACGGUGCAACAAAAGGGAAUUGACGGA
This 926-nucleotide ribosomal RNA is filed under the name uncultured Bacteroidota bacterium. RNAcentral's name for it is "bacterial SSU rRNA". It matches the Rfam family "Bacterial small subunit ribosomal RNA", at positions 1 to 917 of the family's 1533-position model. Lineage: Bacteria; Pseudomonadati; Bacteroidota. The record is from RNAcentral.